This is a long non-coding RNA of Rosa chinensis, 1883 nucleotides long. RefSeq lists it as uncharacterized. The record is from RefSeq and is a predicted model, not a curated record. The transcript has 2 exons. NCBI's taxonomy places the organism in Eukaryota, Viridiplantae, Streptophyta, Magnoliopsida, Rosales, Rosaceae.
ACAAAAACUGCCGCCGCAGCUCUCUCUCCCUUUUGUUACCCAAGUCAAGCUAUCUCUCCCUUCUCUAUUGCCACCAAGUCAAGCACCAAUUGGAGACUCAGACACUCGUUAAUGGCGGAGGGAGCAGCUUGCAGUGGUUCGCUAACAAUUCCAGAGCGACGCUUUCGAGCUUCCUCUAUAUAUGCACUGUCGAGUAGAGCCACAACUCCACGAGUAGCGACGCCGGAAGUGAACUGGUCUCCGUACCAGAAACUCAACUCGAUCAAGAGAUCGGAUAGAUAUAGGUCGAGUCCUGAGUUUGCAGCCACUUCUGCCAAUCGCAAAGCUGCCACUUCUGCCGAUCGCAAAGUCGCCACCACCUCAGAACCUGAUUCGCCGUCGUCGAUGAUGUCUUGAGUUCUUCUGAUCCACCGCCAUGAGUUUCAUCUUUGGCAAACGGAAAACACCCGCAAGUUCACAUACUUGAUCGAAUUUCUGGUUUCGUUGUCUCUACUAUCAUAAGAAUUACUUUUCCUAUAGUUUCUAUUCGUUGAAAAUUUACAUGAUUUGUGAAGCUGUUCAUGGAAAUAUUGCAAUUUUUUUUUUGUUCGAUAUUUUUGGCAAGGUUGAUCGAAUGUAUAUUUUAUUGUUGCUCGCCAUGACUGGUAAUGCCGACAGUCUGAGAGAUUGUUAAGAGUAUAAGCUUGUUGUUGAAUUUGUUUCAUAUUAUUAGUUAAAAGUAGGGAAACAGUAGUGAGCCAACAGUAUUAUCAAUGCUUAUGUAACAGUACGAAUAAUAAUUGGCACUUCUCCCUUAAUUAAUUGUGAAUUGGAGAAACUUAUUGUGUUUGUUUCACUUCAAGAGAUUAGAGGAACAUUGGUCUUGUUAUUUUUUUGAUAAGAAAAUAAAACUAUUUAAAGAAGGAAGCCUCUUGUUAUUGUUGAAAGGGAUUUUGCAUGGUUAUAGGUGGUGAAAGACUCCAAGUCAAGUCUAUUUGUGUUUAUGUUUUGUCAGAAGACAAACUAUUUGCAAAAUUGGAUUCUCCUGAGGCACCCCAAUGUUAUAACCUUCUAUAUAUUGAAUUGGCUAAUUGAAGUUCUCGACCUUUUGUGUCUUAUUUACUGCACAGUUUUCACCUUUGCAUCUUUUAUGCUUUCGAAUUGCAUUUGUUGGUUUUUUAAUUGAUACUUUAAUCACUGUACUUCGUAGCAUUGUAAUUUUACUGUUGGUUCAUAGCAUCUUGCACAUGUUGCUUACUGGUCUACUGUGCAUCGUUUCAGUAAAUGCCACCGUGACAAAUACUCAAAUCAUGUUCCGUGUAGUCUUGGUUCAUAGCAUCUUGCACAUGCUGCUUGUUCAUGGGUUUUUGUGGCAGUCGCGCACUUGUAUUUCAGUUUUGACAGGCCACAAUCAUUAUGUAUCUGUGCCUCAUUCCAUCCUAAAGAAGACCUUGUUGUAUCUACCUCCUUGGAUCAAACUGUCCGUGUUUGGGAUAUUGGUUCUCUGAAAAAGAAGUCUGUGUCUCCUACGGAUGAUGUACUGUGACUAAGUCAGAUGAACAUAGAUCUUCUUGGUGGUGUUGUUGCUGUUGUUAAGUAUGUCUUGGAAGGGCAUGACCGAGGUGUCAAUUGGGCUUCAUUCCACCACAACCUGCCUCUCAUUGUCUCAGGAGCAGAUGAUUGCUAAGUUAAAUUGUGGCCAUCUAGGCAAGAUCACCUGUUCUGGUGUAAGGUUCUUUUCAAAUUUUGGAUGGUUACUCUUUGGACAGUGUGGAUAUAUUUUGAAUUUCUCAACCAGAUUCUUUUUUUUCCCCUUACUUUUUGUUUCUCAACCAGAUUGUUAGAAGUUACCUCUUUGGUACAUGAAUAUUUAUAUAAUUUUUAAUCUUAGAUUUUUAAUUGUA